UACGAACUGUGCGAACGUUAUUCGGAAUUACUGGGCGUAAAGCGCGCGUAGGCGGCUUUGUAAGUUAGAGGUGAAAGCCCAGGGCUUAACCCUGGAAUUGCCUUUAAGACUGCAUCGCUAGAAUCGUGGAGAGGUGAGUGGAAUUCCGAGUGUAGAGGUGAAAUUCGUAGAUAUUCGGAAGAACACCAGUGGCGAAGGCGACUCACUGGACACGUAUUGACGCUGAGGUGCGAAAGCGUGGGGAGCAAACAGG
Molecule: ribosomal RNA, 253 nt
Filed under: uncultured bacterium
Lineage: Bacteria
Description: partial 16S ribosomal RNA
Rfam family: Bacterial small subunit ribosomal RNA
Source: RNAcentral